RNAcentral lists this ribosomal RNA (490 nucleotides) under uncultured bacterium. RNAcentral's name for it is "partial 16S ribosomal RNA". It matches the Rfam family "Bacterial small subunit ribosomal RNA", at positions 30 to 507 of the family's 1533-position model. The record is from RNAcentral.
AUUGAACGCUGGCGGCAGGCCUAACACAUGCAAGUCGAACGGUAACAGGAGACAGCUUGCUGUUUCGCUGACGAGUGGCGGACGGGUGAGUAAUGUCUGGGAAACUGCCUGAUGGAGGGGGAUAACUACUGGAAACGGUAGCUAAUACCGCAUAACGUCGCAAGACCAAAGAGGGGGACCUUCGGGCCUCUUGCCAUCGGAUGUGCCCAGAUGGGAUUAGCUAGUAGGUGGGGUAACGGCUCACCUAGGCGACGAUCCCUAGCUGGUCUGAGAGGAUGACCAGCCACACUGGAACUGAGACACGGUCCAGACUCCUACGGGAGGCAGCAGUGGGGAAUAUUGCACAAUGGGCGCAAGCCUGAUGCAGCCAUGCCGCGUGUAUGAAGAAGGCCUUCGGGUUGUAAAGUACUUUCAGCGGGGAUGAAGGGAGUAAAGUUAAUACCUUUGCUCAUUGACGUUACCCGCAGAAGAAGCACCGGCUAACUCCGUG